Molecule: ribosomal RNA, 491 nt
Filed under: uncultured bacterium
Lineage: Bacteria
Description: partial 16S ribosomal RNA
Rfam family: Bacterial small subunit ribosomal RNA
Source: RNAcentral
GUGAACGCUGGCGGUAGGCCUAACACAUGCAAGUCGAACGGCAGCACAGUAAGAGCUUGCUCUUACGGGUGGCGAGUGGCGGACGGGUGAGGAAUACAUCGGAAUCUACUUUUUCGUGGGGGAUAACGUAGGGAAACUUACGCUAAUACCGCAUACGACCUACGGGCGAAAGCAGGGGAUCUUCGGACCUUGCGCGAUUGAAUGAGCCGAUGUCGGAUUAGCUAGUUGGCGGGGUAAAGGCCCACCAAGGCGACGAUCCGUAGCUGGUCUGAGAGGAUGAUCAGCCACACUGGAACUGAGACACGGUCCAGACUCCUACGGGAGGCAGCAGUGGGGAAUAUUGGACAAUGGGCGCAAGCCUGAUCCAGCCAUACCGCGUGGGUGAAGAAGGCCUUCGGGUUGUAAAGCCCUUUUGUUGGGAAAGAAAAGCAGCAGGUUAAUACCCCGCUGUUCUGACGGUACCCAAAGAAUAAGCACCGGCUAACUUCGUG